This is an unclassified non-coding RNA of 184 nucleotides. The stretch from base 1 to 46 matches the Rfam family "Eukaryotic small subunit ribosomal RNA", at positions 1786 to 1831 of the family's 1831-position model.
AAGUCGUAACAAGGUUUCCGUAGGUGAACCUGCGGAAGGAUCAUUAACAUGGGGACAUGAGGGGGCAAUGCGCUCAUGAGGGGAAUUCGCUCAUGAGUGGAGUUGCCUUUUUUCACGCUUGUCUUUGUUUGUCAAAAUAGAUGGAACCUUGUGAUAACUUUUAACAAUGGAUCUCUUGGCUCUU